CCAAGCUACAAAGAGCCAACGGUGGAUGCCUUGGCGCCAAUGACCGAUGAAGGACGUGGGUGACUGCGAAAUGCUACGAGGAGCCGUCUACCAGGCUUUGAUCCGUAGAUAUCCGAAUGAGGAAACUCGGCACCCGUAAUGGGGUGUCACUCUGGAGUGAAUACAUAGCUCCAGUGGAGGGAACCGGGGGAAUUGAAACAUCUCAGUACCCCGAGGAAAGUAAAGCAAACGCGACUCCCUUAGUAGCGGCGAGCGAAAAGGGAAGAGACCAAACCGUGUCGGUGUAAUAUCCUGAUGGAGUUGCCGACGCGGGGUUGUGGGACGUUUAGACACCGCAUCAGAGGUGUCACGAAGUUAACAAGUUGCUGCGUAGUGGAACAGUUUCGGAAAAGCUGGCCAUAGUGGGUAAAAGCCCCGUACGCGAAACGCACGCAACCUUCGAAACCAAUCCCAAGUAAUGCCGGGACCGAGCAAACUGGCAUGAAUCUGUGGGGACCACCCCAUAAGUCUAAGUAUUUAUUGGCGACCGAUAGUGAACCAGUACCG
This 546-nucleotide ribosomal RNA is filed under the name Pseudomonadota bacterium. RNAcentral's name for it is "Proteobacteria bacterium (freshwater metagenome) partial 23S ribosomal RNA". It matches the Rfam family "Bacterial large subunit ribosomal RNA", at positions 3 to 503 of the family's 2925-position model. The record is from RNAcentral. Lineage: Bacteria; Pseudomonadati; Pseudomonadota.